AGGUUACGUCAAGACUCGCGGCUAUUAACCGUAGGCUUUUCUUCUCUACUGAAAGUGCUUUACAACCCGCAGGCCUUCUUCACACACGCGGCAUUGCUGGAUCAGGCUUGCGCCCAUUAUCCAAUAUUCCCCA
RNAcentral lists this ribosomal RNA (133 nucleotides) under uncultured bacterium. RNAcentral describes it as "partial 16S ribosomal RNA". The record is from RNAcentral.